AUUUUUCAAAAGUUUUCCCAAAUCUCUGCAACCUAUCCUAACUUGUCUAACAACCCAAACUUUCAAAAUAACAAUUUUUUUCUUAUUCAAAAUUUUUUUUUAUGGCUCAAGAAAUGGGGGAAAAAAGACAAACUACACAUACGACUCGUCAAGCACAUGUAAUUAUUAAAAACAAACUAGAAGCAUAAUUAAAACUAAUUAGAAAGCAAUGAAAUUAGAAAACAUAAAUAAAAUGAAAACAAUAAAUAUCUCCUCCCAAACUUAAA
This 266-nucleotide long non-coding RNA is filed under the name Lathyrus oleraceus (garden pea). Its description in RNAcentral is "Pisum sativum (pea) long non-coding RNA (PSAT_LNC031703)". Lineage: Eukaryota; Viridiplantae; Streptophyta; Magnoliopsida; Fabales; Fabaceae. The record is from RNAcentral.